UGCAGUCUGCAACUCGACUGCAUGAAGCUGGAAUCGCUAGUAAUCGCGAAUCAGAAUGUCGCGGUGAAUACGUUCCCGGGUCUUGUACACACCGCCCGUCACACCAUGGGAGUUGGUAACGCCCGAAGUCAGUGACCCAACCGCAAGGGAGGGAGCUGCCGAAGGCGGGACCGGUAACUGGGGUGAAGUCGUAACAAGGUAGC
This 203-nucleotide ribosomal RNA is filed under the name uncultured bacterium. RNAcentral describes it as "partial 16S ribosomal RNA". It matches the Rfam family "Bacterial small subunit ribosomal RNA", at positions 1299 to 1500 of the family's 1533-position model. The record is from RNAcentral.